UUUCCUACGGGAGGCAGCAGUGGGGAAUAUUGGGCAAUGGAGGAAACUCUGACCCAGCAACGCCGCGUGAAUGAUGAAGGUCUUCGGAUUGUAAAGUUCUUUUCUAAGGGAAGAAGAAAGUGACGGUACCUUAGGAAUAAGCCUCGGCUAACUACGUGCCAGCAGCCGCGGUAAUACGUAGGAGGCGAGCGUUAUCCGGAAUGACUGGGCGUAAAGGGUGCGUAGGUGGUUUGGCAAGUUAGUAGCGUAACUCCAAGGCUCAACCUUGGAACUACUACUAAAACUGUUGGACUUGAGUGCAGGAG
RNAcentral lists this ribosomal RNA (305 nucleotides) under uncultured bacterium. RNAcentral describes it as "bacterial SSU rRNA". It matches the Rfam family "Bacterial small subunit ribosomal RNA", at positions 335 to 654 of the family's 1533-position model. The record is from RNAcentral.